Molecule: ribosomal RNA, 450 nt
Filed under: Terrahaemophilus aromaticivorans
Lineage: Bacteria; Pseudomonadati; Pseudomonadota; Gammaproteobacteria; Pasteurellales; Pasteurellaceae
Description: bacterial SSU rRNA
Rfam family: Bacterial small subunit ribosomal RNA
Source: RNAcentral
AUUGAACGCUGGCGGCAGGCUUAACACAUGCAAGUCGAACGGUAACAUAAAGAAGCUUGCUUCUUUGAUGACGAGUGGCGGACGGGUGAGUAAUGCUUGGGAAUCUGGCUUAUGGAGGGGGAUAACUACGGGAAACUGUAGCUAAUACCGCGUAGAAUCGGGAGAUGAAAGUGUGGGACCUUCGGGCCACAUGCCAUAGGAUGAGCCCAAGUGGGAUUAGGUAGUUGGUGAGGUAAAGGCUCACCAAGCCGACGAUCUCUAGCUGGUCUGAGAGGAUGACCAGCCACACUGGGACUGAGACACGGCCCAGACUCCUACGGGAGGCAGCAGUGGGGAAUAUUGCGCAAUGGGGGCAACCCUGACGCAGCCAUGCCGCGUGAAUGAAGAAGGCCUUCGGGUUGUAAAGUUCUUUCGGUAGCGAGGAAGGCAUUUAGUUUAAUAGACUAGGUG